GUGUUAUUUGUAGCCUCAAAUCAUUUCUCGCAAUAAGGAAAUAUUUUCCCGCGCUUUCUGCCGCACUGCACAAUGUGCUAACGCAUAUACAUAUACAAUGAAAAAAAGAGUGUGUGCGUGCUGCACAUUUUAUAUUUUUUGUUGUUUGUUUACACAUGUGCGCGUUUUCGCGGCAUCCUCGUUCGUAUAAAAAUAUUAAGUUAACCGUUUUUGUGCAAUUCCUUCUUGUUUUUAAUUUUUUCUGUUAUUCUACUAUAAAGUGUAAAAAGUUUCACUGAACAAAUUAUUAUUAGUAAUAAUAAGUUUAACGAUAACCCAAACCUUUGUUUGAAAUCGAAGCCCCCAAAUUAAAAUUAGUGUGGCAAAAUUGCUUAUAAUUUACUCUUCUCCUGUGCUUAAAUAAGCACAUCAUUAAAUAAUAAUGAAUUUUGUGAAUGCAAGGAGUAAUAUGCCAACAACUUUGGUUCUUAUUAUUGUGUGUUUCCCAAAAGUUUUUAAUCAACAUGCUUGUAUGUACAUACAUAUGUAUUUUUCUGCAAAAAACUAUAAGCUAAUAAAUAAAUAUUUUCCUCCAAAUUUCCUCAAAAAUAUAUUAAAUAUCCAAACGAAUGACCAUGAUAAUUGCAAUUACAUAUAUAAUAAGAACCAUCGCAAUAAAUGAACAAAUAAAAUAAACAGGCAACCAAUCGAAAAUGGUUGUGGUAUUUUAAUUAUGCGCUAAAGGACUCUCCUUACAAUAGUUAAUAUUUAUGUAUGUAUGUUUGUAUGGACAAUAUGUGAAAUUUUGAAAAACUGCGAUAAACUUAAUCGACAAUUUAUCUCUCUUGUUUACAGUUCCAGUGGACCUUUAUUGGGAAAAGUUGUCUUCCAGCUGAGGAGCUCCGCACCUAUACAAGAUUCUACAAUGGCGAGGGUCUCUAUAAAAACUGAGGGCGUGCUGCAGCGAUGUCCUAAGCAGGUUGUGGACCAAGGCCAAUGGCUACUUAAUUUGUACUUGAAGCUGCCUAUGUUGCGUCGACUGAUGCACAUCAACGGAGUCGCUGGAGCUGUUUCAGGUGUCGCCGAAUAUCUUGCACAUGUAGAACGCCGGACUCUUAUACCCUACGUUUUGCCACAAGCCGAGUCGUAUCCGAUUUCCCCCCGCCAGACGGAGUCCUAUCCAAACAUUACCGAGGCGUAUUCGAGACAGACCGAGUCCCAUCCCAGCCAGACUGAAUUGUGUUCCAGCAGGACAGAAGCGCACCCCUUACCUGAUUUGAACCCGGCCAUUUGACGCGAGUUUUUUUUGUACGGUGGCGCCCCAAUCGGCCCGUGCGACGGCUUCCUGUGAUCGGAAAAAUAUCCCUGAUUUGCUGGAGUCCUUAUCAAGGACCAAGGAACAAGGAAAUGUACUCCAGGCGUAUAAAUAUUGUUCUUGCCGUUAUUUUAGGCUCGAUCGGGACCUGCCAGGAACCCACGUGCUCAGAUAAAUAUCCUUGAUCCUUCGGUAAGGACAUCAACCGCCCCAACCAUACAUAUUUAUUUUUCCCGGCUUUUUGUGGCCCGAUCGGGACAUGCGUCAUCUUACUGUGUUUGGAACAGCACCCUUGAUCUAAUGCAGUCCGUAUCAAGGACCAAGGAU
Drosophila pseudoobscura is the source of this 1621-nucleotide long non-coding RNA. RefSeq lists it as uncharacterized. The record is from RefSeq and is a predicted model, not a curated record. The transcript has 4 exons. NCBI's taxonomy places the organism in Eukaryota, Metazoa, Arthropoda, Insecta, Diptera, Drosophilidae.